This 245-nucleotide ribosomal RNA is filed under the name uncultured bacterium. RNAcentral's name for it is "partial 16S ribosomal RNA". It matches the Rfam family "Bacterial small subunit ribosomal RNA", at positions 524 to 769 of the family's 1533-position model. The record is from RNAcentral.
UACGUAGGGUGCGAGCGUUAAUCGGAAUUACUGGGCGUAAAGCGUGCGCAGGCGGUUUUGUAAGCCAGAUGUGAAAUCCCCGGGCUCAACCUGGGAAUGGCAUUUGGGACUGCAAGGCUGGAGUGCGGCAGAGGAGACUGGAAUUCCUGGUGUAGCAGUGAAAUGCGUAGAUAUCAGGAGGAAUACCGAUGGCGAAGGCAGGUCUCUGGGCUGACACUGACGCUCAUGCACGAAAGCGUGGGAGC